Molecule: ribosomal RNA, 458 nt
Filed under: uncultured bacterium
Lineage: Bacteria
Description: partial 16S ribosomal RNA
Rfam family: Bacterial small subunit ribosomal RNA
Source: RNAcentral
CUACGGGUGGCAGCAGUGAGGAAUAUUGGUCAAUGGGCGCGAGCCUGAACCAGCCAUCCCGCGUGCAGGAUGACGGCCCUAUGGGUUGUAAACUGCUUUUCUAUGCCAAGAAACCUGAUUACGUGUAAUCAGUUGCCGGUAGCAUAGGAAUAAGCAUCGGCUAACUCCGUGCCAGCAGCCGCGGUAAUACGGAGGAUGCAAGCGUUAUCCGGAUUCAUUGGUUUAAAGGGUGCGCAGGUGGGCUUGUAAGUCAGUGGUGAAAUGCUGCCGCUUAACGGUAGAACUGCCAUUGAUACUGCGAGUCUUGAGUAUGGUUGAGGUAGGCGGAAUGUGUUGUGUAGCGGUGAAAUGCAUAGAUAUGACACAGAACGCCAAUUGCGAAGGCAGCUUACUAAGCCAUUACUGACGCUGAGGCACGAAAGCGUGGGGAGCGAACAGGAUUAGAUACCCCUGUAGUC